GAUGUCUGCAAAAUUAACAGCCACAUAAUUCUGUGUUGUAUAUAUAAUUAAAACCAUUCAUAAAAUUGGAAGUCAUAAACUUGUUGAUGUAAUUACGUACCCUUCGCCACCAGUUGUCGAGCCAUGGUUGAAGUAGGGAUAAAGAGAGUGGAAGCCAGGAGAAUGCAUACCAUCACUAAUAAUGCUUUCAUUUUGGGGGGUAUAUUGUUGUUGUUAAUAGUAGGUAGUUUGUGUUAAGGAUGGCCCUUCUUUCGACUACUAUUUAUAGGUCGAUAUCUCAAGUGUGUUGUGGCUACUUUUCAAAGAUAAUUUGUUAAUAAAUUAUUAUUCACUCUAUAAAACUAGCAAAAUUGACAAAGGGAGGACUGAAGAAAUUUCCACGGCAGGCAAUGGGUAAUAGCUAUUGUCCCUUUCAGUUUCACUUUCUGUCUUUUUAUGACCCAUAUUUCCACACACAAAUCAAAUUUGUAGCUGUUGUCGCUUUCAUUAUUCUCUCACUUGGAAAAUUAGAAACAUUGUUAGUGAUGGACUUUAUGGAUUGAACAGGUAAGGAGAAAAUUUAUUCGUAAAAUUUAUGUUUACCGAUACAUAUAAGGUAUAAAAAUAUAAUUUGUUGGAUCGCAUUUAUAUUUAUUGGGUCUAGUAAUAAAGAGUUUGAUGUGUUUUUAGGUUUGGAUUUUAUGGAUGAAAAAACCAAUACCGAAAAAAUUUUACCCUCUAUUUCAGAACUCAAUUUAAUGAAAAAAAUCUUGUUCAACAACAAUUAUUUUAGAAAGAAAAUAGACUUUUAUUAUACACUUGAUAAAUUGAUUUUUAAUUUCCAAUGAUUUGAUUUUAAUUUUUCUUAUAAUAUUUAUAAUAUAUGAAAAUAUAAUUUAUUUGAUGGCUCUUAUUAUACAGUUGAUAUCAACUUUUAAUAUGCAACUAUUUAAUUUUAACUACAAUUCAAUUUUGUCAAUGAAAGAUAGCAACAUUCACCCUAAGUCUCAAAGGUUGUAUGUUAGAUCAUGAUAAUAUGGACAAAUAUAUUAAUUACCGAGUACUAUACCAACAACAAAUAAGAAGCAAACAUAGGACUAUGAGGUAUUACUUAUCUCUCAUCUUUACCUUUUUCAUUAAGUUAUAUACUUUUACUCUCUCCAUAAUUAUGGAGAACAAUCAAAGCGUCAAAACCGACACCCCUUAAUUUACCCUUGAGUCGUGCAGAUCGAGUCAAACCCCUUGAAGCACCUCAACAAGCCUGAUUUACAACAAUUCAAAGAAGACUAAUAUUUGGGGCUACCUUUGAGAACGAAGCGAAAAUCCAUGGCUUAAUCUUCCCAACUCGAUAAGCUUCAAAAAUAUUUUUGAAGUUUUUGACAAGUUCAUACUUUUUCCAAUGGAGAUUUCAGUUUCAUAAAAUUUCACAAAUACAUUUAUCUCCAUCUUUUUGGUUUAUCGAAAGUUCCUCCAUUUUUAGUUCCAUAAAACUUUCAUAUUUGGGUUUCAUAAAGUUUCCCAAACACAUUUAUCUCCAUUGUUUGGUUUAUUGAAAGUUCCUACAAAAGAGUUUCUUAAAUUUCUCAUCUUUGGGUUCAAAAAGUUUUCUAAGCAAAUUCAAUCAAUCUCUAUUUUUUGGGCUUAUUGAAGCUUCUACCUUUAAACUUGAUUUUUGGGUUUCUUAAAGCUUUCAUCUUCGGGUUUUAUUUAGCUUCCCAAGCACAUUCAUCUCUAUAUUUCGGGUUUAUUAGAGCCAUUUUUUAUUUCUUAAAGUUUUUUAUCUUUGGUUUCCAUGAAGUUUACCAAGCACAUUUGGUCUCCAUUUAUGACUUUCUUGAAGCAUCCUCCGUUUUUGGGUUUCUUAAAGCUACCUUCAUAGUUGGGUUUCCUACAGCUUUUCCAAUAUACUUUACAAUCGCGUCUGUAGCACAGAUUUUGCAAUCAAAAUUUCGUAGUCCAUCUGCAAUUACGAUUCUGUAGCACAGUAGCAAUGAUUCUAUAGUCCAAAUUCUGUAGGCACGAUCUACAGUCACGUCUAUAGUCUAGUUUCUUCAGUCACGAUUGUAUCAAGAUUCUGCAGUCACGUUUGUAAUCUGCAGUGAUAUCUGUAGUCCAGAUUCUAACCACGAUUUUGUAGUACAUAUUUUGAGGUUAUGAUUAUGAGCUUAUCAUUUUAAGGGUGAGUUUGGAUGGGCGGUGCGUUUAUCUGCGGUUAGUGUAAAAACAGCGGUGGCGGUAAAAUUAGAUACUGUAGCGAUACUGUAACGUGAGACAAAAAGUAAGCUAAACGCACCGCACUGCACUCAAUCGCCCAUCUAAACCCACCUAAGGCUACUCUUAGACUAUAUAGAAAAACUCAUAUCAAACUUCUGAUACCAACUUAAAUGGUAGAAGACCAAAAAUUCAAAUUUCAAAAACGUUAAUAAUUGAAUAAAAAAAUUUUAAUUGACUGAUCAAAAUAAAAAUACUCUCAUGAACUUCAUGUAGCUUACCUAAUAAAAAUACUAGAAAGAUAGGAAGGUUGAAAUUUAUAACAAAGCAACUCCAAAAUCAAACAUCACAUGAACGUACAAGCAGUUUGGAGGUAGCUUGAAUUAUCAAAAGAAACUCUUCCAGAGGAAGACUUUGAUUUCGAUACAUGGGAUGGUAAUUGAAAGCCUUAGGAAGCCAAUGAUGAUGAGCUCAUGAUAACUCGUUAUUGCAGACACACUACAUAUGAUGAAACAAACUACAUAAUAGUCUUGAAAAAAACACAAAUCAUGGGCAGGUAAUGCAACUUCAUGAUCUGGUUUUUAUAUAUUCGCAUUACAAUUUCGCCAAUGGAUCCUAUAGCUUGCCCAUUACAUUCAAGGUUUAGUUGGCUACUCUUAGCAGUUGUGGCUAUAAAAACAGGGUGAGUUCAUAGAAGGAGUUCCAGGUCCGCAGUAUUUAUAAGACUUUCCACGGCCACAAUUUCGAGGUUCAUUAUGUUCACCCGCCGUAGCAGUGGUAAACACUGGUGGAUCAUUGAUGUCUGCAAAAUUAACAGCCAUAUAUUUCCCAUUUUAUUUAAAUAUAAGGCUAAAGUGCUAUAUAAGCGGAUAAAGGUAUAUAAGCCCUUGAACUUUUGCAAAAAAAUCAAUUAAGCCCUCCGCAGAAAACGUACUCAAUUAAGUCUUCAAACUCUCAAAUUGCAUCAAAUUUUUAUUUAUAAUUUUGAUAAAUUUUAAUAAUAUUAUUUAUUUAUUUAUAAUUUUAAAACAUAAAAUUUAUAAUUUUUUAAAAAUUUUAAGUCAAAAUCAAAUUGGGCAAGCAUUUGUCCAGGUCAUUCUAGUAAUUUUUCUUUUUACUUUUUUUGAAUUUUUUAUUUUUCAAAAAAAAUUUUAUUUUUAUUUUGUUGAUGUCAGCAACUGUCAUUGACAUGGAGCGCCAUGUGAGCGCUAUUGAUGGUCACAUCAAUACUGUAACGGUUAAAGAUGAUCAAAGGACUUAAUUGAUGCAAUUUGAGAAUUUGAAGGUUUAAUUGUAUACACUUUUUACGGAGGGGCUUGUUGAUUUUUUCGCAAAAGUUCAAGUGCUUAUAUACUUUUAGCCUAUAUAUAAUUAAAACCAUCCAUAUGUAAAAAAAACUUAAUAGAAUUGAAUAAUCAACACAACACAUCCAAGUUCUUAUCCAUAUAAUGUUUAACAUUUUGAUUGUGAUUCAACUUUACUAUACUAAUGUUAUACAUAUUGCUUUAAGAUGGAAAAUAAAUGAAAAAUAGAAUAAAAGUGUUAAAUUUGUUGGAAAUGUGACUUAUCCUUCUAGAUAAGUUAUAAAAAAAAAUCAAUAUAAUCAGACAUGCAAAACACUCAAAUUCUAAACUAUUUAAUAAUAAUUUGACUAGUUAUUGUAUGCGUAUACAUGUAAAUAUAUUGCUUGAUUAUAUAAAAUAAAAUUGGAGAUUUCUAUAGAAGUAAUAAACUUGUUGAUGUGAUUACUUACCCUUCUCCCCCAGAUGUCGAGCAAUGGUGAAAGUAGGGAUAAAAAGAGUGGAAGCCAGGAGAAUGCAUACCAUCACUAAUAAUGCUUUCAUUUUGGGGGGUAUAUUGUUGUUAUUAA
This 4060-nucleotide long non-coding RNA is filed under the name Gossypium barbadense (sea-island cotton). Its description in RNAcentral is "long non-coding RNA (GBAR_LNC013238)". Lineage: Eukaryota; Viridiplantae; Streptophyta; Magnoliopsida; Malvales; Malvaceae. The record is from RNAcentral.